This 497-nucleotide ribosomal RNA is filed under the name uncultured bacterium. Its description in RNAcentral is "partial 16S ribosomal RNA". It matches the Rfam family "Bacterial small subunit ribosomal RNA", at positions 28 to 507 of the family's 1533-position model. The record is from RNAcentral.
GAUGAACGCUGGCGGCGUGCCUAAUACAUGCAAGUCGAGCGAACGGACGAGAAGCUUGCUUCUCUGAUGUUAGCGGCGGACGGGUGAGUAACACGUGGAUAACCUACCUAUAAGACUGGGAUAACUUCGGGAAACCGGAGCUAAUACCGGAUAAUAUUUUGAACCGCAUGGUUCAAAAGUGAAAGACGGUCUUGCUGUCACUUAUAGAUGGAUCCGCGCUGCAUUAGCUAGUUGGUAAGGUAACGGCUUACCAAGGCAACGAUGCAUAGUCGACCUGAGAGGGUGAUCGGCCACACUGGAACUGAGACACGGUCCAGACUCCUACGGGAGGCAGCAGUAGGGAAUCUUCCGCAAUGGGCGAAAGCCUGACGGAGCAACGCCGCGUGAGUGAUGAAGGUCUUCGGAUCGUAAAACUCUGUUAUUAGGGAAGAACAUAUGUGUAAGUAACUGUGCACAUCUUGACGAUACCUAAUCAGAAAGCCACGGCUAACUACGUG